ACCGUUCUUGUCUUGGGCAGUUGCUGCUCUGUGAACGCAAUGUGAGAGCAGUGUGCUGACAACCAUGUGACACAUAGUCUACCGCACCGCGCACCUGCUGCAGGUGCGUAUGGGUGCAAUUUUUGGAACC
Stegodyphus mimosarum is the source of this 130-nucleotide non-coding RNA. NCBI's taxonomy places the organism in Eukaryota, Metazoa, Arthropoda, Arachnida, Araneae, Eresidae. The record is from Rfam.